ACGUAUGCGUACUCUCUGACUAUAGUAAUUGAAUGACAUCGCGACACAAUCGAUUGGAUUGCAAGUCACAGAUUCGAACUGUGAUUGAAUCAUCAGUUAAUUAAACAAUUGUUUUAUUAGAAUAUCAAGAUUAGAAUAUACGCGUGAAAGUCUGUUUUAUUGCAUCUAAUUAAGGAUGUUGAAAAUUUUCACUUAUAAUAAUUGAUACGAAGACAAUCAAUAUUCGUUAUUUCUUGGAAUACUGUUGAGGAGUUUCUUAUUUAGAAAUUUUGCAGAAUACUCACUAUCUUUACAGGAUUGAAAUAAGUAAAAUUGUGUUUACUAAAAAAUUUAACUAUAAAUUCUAUCGUUUUUUUUCGUAUAUGUACACCAAUUAUCUCACGAACUCCGACGACGAAAAUUCAGUACUCUAAUAAAGUCGUUAUUAGUCGUUAUCGAAAUUGAAAGAUCGUGAAAUUUUCUAAUUCAGGGAAUGGAGCCUGCUAAGGCUCGGAAGAUCGCCAAAAGGUAAUAGAGUGCGAACGUCCAAGAGGGUUGGGCCGAACCCUUGGAUGAACGAAAUAGCCCGGCAGCGACACGUCAAGGCGACGCUCUCGAACUCGAAACAGCCACCGCCUAAGCCACUUAGUUGUCAGAGGGAUGCGCACGGACUCUAGGCGGCCAUUUAUCCUGGUCUCCUGUCUCAUUGUAUUUGAAAAGCGGUCCAGAACAAAGUACCGAACGGAGUUAAAUAAAAACAAUUGGGAGAUUUAUCAUUCGAAUUAUUGCUGGGGAUCCAGCACGAUUAUUAAUCUUCCAGCAUCUUUCACGUUAAGAAAUGAGCUCGACGGUGUUCCAAAACUACAGCUAAACGUGAUCCUAGGGAAGCGAAAAUUUGUUGCUAGCAGUGCCACUUGAGCAACUUCCACGUAUGUAUUCCAAUAUACGUUAGUGGACGUUACAUGCUUAAAAGAUUUGAGACUUUGGAAGGAAUCGUUUGAGCUGUGGAGAACGGAUCGACAUACGAACGAAGCGAAUGCACUCGGCACUCGCCGUGUAUACGUGUCGAAACGAAGGGUGUUUUUUAAUUCUGCUUUAUCCAGAAACGUGGGAGCAUCGGAUCAAAACGACGAAGAGAGGAUGGGAGCCUCGAUGGAGAAAUCCCGCGGGUUCUUUGGCCGAGUUUGGCGAUAGCCAAUUUCUCAUUUACUUUCAGUAUAAAACGCCUGAGCCACUUAACCACAACGCACCAGCUACUCGGUCCAAUCUUCUUCGUGUAAUCUCCUCUUUAUUGGCCCUGACAAAAAGCCUCCAAUUAGUUCGCAUAACAUUACUGUAAUUACGGGAAAGAGAGAACCCUGUCGGCCGGAUACGAGAAUGCGAUAUAAGCCCCUGAUAUGUCUGCCAAAAUAUCCAAUCGCUUUUUCUGCCUGCAAGUCUACCCGUAUUGCUUUUUUCUUCGUGCCAUAAUUCAAUUGAAUAGAGAAAAUAAUGAUUUCAAUCGAUUUUAUACAGUUUCGAGCUAGAGAUUUCCAAAUUGGGAUCCCGAUCACUAUCCAUUGAGCAUCGAAAAAUUUGGACACUAUACGAAAAGCGUUGAAGAUUGCGUAACUACGGAGGAAGUUUUGAAUUCGACGUAGAGCUAAAGGUGGCUAAUUUAAUUAAUGCAUACGAAAUAUAAUUCUAUAGUGUUCUUCGUUCGUCGCCAGCGAAUGGCUGCUGUAGCUCCGUCUACUCGAGGCAACUCGAAGCUUCCUUCAAGUUUUCCAAAGCUUGUAACACGAGAACUUGAACCACGAAAGUCUUAAAAUAGUUCGUGGGUGAAAUUCACUAGCAAAUAGUCGACAGCGUAAGUUUCACUUUUCAGUUCUGAGCUCAUAUAUUUUCAACCACCCUACCAUGGUUGUAACUAAACACUGUAAUUAAACACUUCGUGUAUUCUGUAUUAUGUGGAAAGUGGACUAACACAGAUAGAAAAUGCACACACAAGCCAGCCUCUGCGCUUAGUGAUCGUGAAUGGUAUAACCGGGCAAAAUAAGCAAUCUGUUUCAUUUUAAUGUGACAAUCCGAGGAUCCCUAAACAGCAUACCAAGUACAAGGACACGAGAUGAAGAGUCUAGUAACAAGAACACACUCACGUUAAAGCUUUUGUUGAAGUUUCGACGAUGUCAUUAAGGGUCUGUGAAACAGAUGUGGGUGUAAAGUGACGAAGAGAAUGAGAGAGAGAGAGAGAGAGGAAAAGAGAGAAAUGCCAUUAGUGGGGGGGUUGGCCGCAGAGCAAUCAAGACAGAUCAAGGAUGUGUUUCGACUCAAUCUCUGCCUAAGGUGCUGUAAUAGUACUUUCGCCAUUUCGUUUCUCUCUUUGAACGUAUGCAUAACGUAUGUAUUAAAAAUUGAAUUUUUUCCACAAAGAGAUAAACAAAAAAUGUAUUUUUCUUCAUGCACAUAAGCUUGUAUGCUGAUUCCUCAUAAAUUCCCGAUUAUAAAAUCUGCUUUUUUGACUUUGUAAAACGAUGUCGCUUUAAGGAUUGAUAACAGAUAUUCCGUAAAGGGAAUCAUCGCA
Molecule: long non-coding RNA, 2542 nt
Organism: Venturia canescens
Lineage: Eukaryota; Metazoa; Arthropoda; Insecta; Hymenoptera; Ichneumonidae
Exons: 4
Source: RefSeq, a predicted model, not a curated record